GUGGGGAAUAUUGCACAAUGGGGGAAACCCUGAUGCAGCGACGCCGCGUGAGUGAAGAAGUAUUUCGGUAUGUAAAGCUCUAUCAGCAGGGACGAAAAAAUGACGGUACCUGACUAAGAAGCCCCGGCUAACUACGUGCCAGCAGCCGCGGUAAUACGUAGGGGGCAAGCGUUAUCCGGAUUUACUGGGUGUAAAGGGAGCGUAGACGGUGAUGUAAGUCAGAUGUGAAAGCCCGGGGCUCAACCCCGGGACUGCAUUUGAAACUAUGUUGCUAGAGUGCAGGAGAGGUAAGUGGAAUUCCUAGUGUAGCGGUGAAAUGCGUAGAUAUUAGGAGGAACACCAGUGGCGAAGGCGGCUUACUGGACUGUAACUGACGUUGAGGCUCGAAAGCGUGGGGAGCAAACAGGAUUAGAAACCCUAGUAGUCC
RNAcentral lists this ribosomal RNA (427 nucleotides) under uncultured bacterium. RNAcentral describes it as "bacterial SSU rRNA". It matches the Rfam family "Bacterial small subunit ribosomal RNA", at positions 354 to 796 of the family's 1533-position model. The record is from RNAcentral.